CGAACGUGGGUAACCUGCCCAUCAGAGGGGGAUAACAUCCGGAAACGGAUGCUAAAACCGCAUAGGUCUUCGAACCGCAUGGUUUGAAGAGGAAAAGAGGCGCAAGCUUCUGCUGAUGGAUGGACCCGCGGUGCAUUAGCUAGUUGGUGAGGUAACGGCUCACCAAGGCCGUGAUGCAUAGCCGACCUGAGAGGGUGAUCGGCCACAUUGGGACUGAGACACGGCCCAA
RNAcentral lists this ribosomal RNA (229 nucleotides) under uncultured bacterium. RNAcentral's name for it is "partial 16S ribosomal RNA". It matches the Rfam family "Bacterial small subunit ribosomal RNA", at positions 112 to 334 of the family's 1533-position model. The record is from RNAcentral.